CCUUUACUCCCUUCACUCACUCACACCUUCUCUCUUGCUCUGUUGUAAGAUACAAACAGAGCGGAUGGUUGCACGAUGGCCUUUUUCAGUUUUGUCAACUGAACGUCUACUAGUGAGGCUCAGCAAGUUCUUGUCAUGAUCAGCCCUCUCCAAGAAAGCUGAAGAGCAAAAACACAAAGAACAUCAGUCCUGUUGGGGAUGAGGAAUGAACAUGGCUCUAUUGUCCCCAAACAGAAAAGACUGAAAAGAAUGAACAAAUCAUCAGUGAAUCAUUUCUGGAAUUUGGGCAGAAAAUGACUGAAUAUGAAAGACUGCAGUAGAAGGAAAGCUGAACUGAAAACAUUUGUCUUCACUCACAUGCUCCAGACGAAAGAGAAGCGGGUCUGAGGACCGAGAUGGAGGAGUCAAUGGUCACCAAGUGCAGCACUGCAGCCUGAAACUGUGAAGACUGGAUUCCCAAACUACUCUGUGACAGCACAAAUGUUACAGCCAUAAAAGAAACUUCUCAACUGAGAGCACAUACCUCCAACAACCUUCAACAGGAA
Molecule: long non-coding RNA, 545 nt
Organism: Carassius carassius (crucian carp)
Lineage: Eukaryota; Metazoa; Chordata; Actinopteri; Cypriniformes; Cyprinidae
Exons: 4
Source: RefSeq, a predicted model, not a curated record